Molecule: ribosomal RNA, 440 nt
Filed under: uncultured bacterium
Lineage: Bacteria
Description: partial 16S ribosomal RNA
Rfam family: Bacterial small subunit ribosomal RNA
Source: RNAcentral
CCUACGGGAGGCAGCAGUGAGGAAUAUUGGUCAAUGGCCGUAAGGCUGAACCAGCCAAGUCGCGUGAGUGAAGAAGUAAUUCCUUAUGUAAAGCUCUAUCAGCAGGGAAGAAAAUGACGGUACCUGAGUACUAAGCCCCGGCUAACUACGUGCCAGCAGCCGCGGUAAUACGUAGGGGGCAAGCGUUAUCCGGAUUUACUGGGUGUAAAGGGAGCGUAGACGGGAGUGCAAGUCUGGAGUGAAAGGCGGGGGCUCAACCCCCGGACUGCUGUGGAAACUGUACGGCUGGAGUGCAGGAGAGGUAAGUGGAAUGCCUAGUGUAGCGGUGAAAUGCGUAGAUAUUAGGAGGAACGCCAGUGGCGAAGGCGGCUUACUGGACUGUAACUGACGUUGAGGCUCGAAAGCGUGGGGAGCAAACAGGAUUAGAUACCCCGGUAGUC